RNAcentral lists this unclassified non-coding RNA (334 nucleotides) under Hevea brasiliensis (rubber tree). The record is from RNAcentral. Lineage: Eukaryota; Viridiplantae; Streptophyta; Magnoliopsida; Malpighiales; Euphorbiaceae.
CAUCCCAACUCUUAGUCCUAGCUGUCGCUGCUCCUUCAUCUUCGUCCUCCUCCUCCUACUUCUUUUUCUUCCCCCUUUUCUUCUUCGCUCCCUCUGAUCUUUCUACACAUGAAGGUUAAAGUUGCAUGUCUUGUAAUUUUUGUUUCUGGUUUUCAUCUUGCCGUUCUCUUUGCUGAGCACAAGCGCGAAUCGCCUCUCCUCAUUUCACUUCCUAUUGCGAGGCAUUGUAAUGAGCAUCGCAUCGCACCAUCAAUGCUCAUCUCGACCCAUCUAAUAGAGACCCAUAUGCAAAUACAUCCUUACUUUGAUAGCAUCAGAGAACCAUCCAUCCACC